Molecule: ribosomal RNA, 791 nt
Filed under: uncultured Actinomycetes bacterium
Lineage: Bacteria; Bacillati; Actinomycetota; Actinomycetes
Description: bacterial SSU rRNA
Rfam family: Bacterial small subunit ribosomal RNA
Source: RNAcentral
AUGCAAGUCGAACGCGAAAGUCCCCUUCGGGGGGCAAGUAGAGUGGCGCACGGGUGAGUAACACGUAGGUAAUCUACCUUUGGAUGGGGAAUAACAACCGGAAACGGUUGCUAAUACCGCAUAAUGCAGCGGCACCUAAUGGUGACAGUUGUUAAAGCGGGGGAUCGAAAGACCUCGCGUCUGAAGAGGAGCCUGCGGCGGAUUAGCUAGUUGGUAAGGUAACGGCUUACCAAGGCUAUGAUCCGUAGCCGGCCUGAGAGGGCGGUCGGCCACACUGACACUGACAUACGGGUCAGACUCCUACGGGAGGCAGCAGUCGGGAAUUUUGGGCAAUGGGCGCAAGCCUGACCCAGCAACGCCGCGUGAAGGAUGAAAUCCUUCGGGAUGUAGACUUCGCAAGAACAGGAAGAAUAAGUAAGGGUUAAUAUCUCUUACGAUGACGGUACUGUUUGUAAGCUCCGGCUAACUCCGUGCCAGCAGCCGCGGUAAUACGGGGGGAGCAAGCGUUGUUCGGAUUUACUGGGCGUAAAGGGCGCGUAGGCGGCCACCGCAAGUCGACUGUGAAAUCUCCGGGCUUAACCCGGAAAGGUCAGCCGAUACUGCGGGGCUAGAGUGCAGAAGGGGCAACUGGAAUUCUCGGUGUAGCGGUGAAAUGCGUAGAUAUCGAGAGGAACACCUGCGGCGAAAGCGGGUUGCUGGGCUGACACUGACGCUGAAGCGCGAAAGCUAGGGGAGCGAACGGGAUUAGAUACCCCGGUAGUCCUAGCCUUAAACGAUGAAUGCUUGGUGUC